UGGGGAAUAUUGCACAAUGGGGGAAACCCUGAUGCAGCGACGCCGCGUGAACGAAGAAGGUAUUCGUAUCGUAAAGUUCUGUCCUAUGGGAAGAUAAUGACAGUACCAUAGAAGAAAGCUCCGGCUAAAUACGUGCCAGCAGCCGCGGUAAUACGUAUGGAGCGAGCGUUGUCCGGAAUUAUUGGGCGUAAAGGGUACGCAGGCGGUUUAAUAAGUCGAAUGUUAAAGAUCGGGGCUCAACCCCGCAAAGCAUUGGAAACUGAUAAACUUGAGUAGUGGAGAGGAAAGUGGAAUUCCUAGUAUAGUGGUGAAAUACGUAGAUAUUAGGAGGAAUACCAGUAGCGAAGGCGACUUUCUGGACACAAACUGACGCUGAGGUACGAAAGCGUGGGGAGCAAACAGG
RNAcentral lists this ribosomal RNA (403 nucleotides) under bacterium. Its description in RNAcentral is "partial 16S ribosomal RNA". It matches the Rfam family "Bacterial small subunit ribosomal RNA", at positions 355 to 776 of the family's 1533-position model. The record is from RNAcentral.